This 712-nucleotide long non-coding RNA is filed under the name Gallus gallus (chicken). The record is from RNAcentral. Lineage: Eukaryota; Metazoa; Chordata; Aves; Galliformes; Phasianidae.
GGAAUGUGGGGUGUGCCCGCGCCUCACACAAAGGCGGCGGUUGGGCGGGAGGCGCAUGCGCAGGGAGGGGUUGGCGCACCCACGUGGUGCUGGGUGAGGUGCAUGUUGUGGUUCUGCUCCUGACACAGCUCUUUUGCCAUGCAGGAAGCCUCUGAGGAAGGCUGCCUUUCUAAAGAUUAGAUCCAAGUUGAUGGAAGUAAUCCCAGCUGACUUGGGCAGCGCUAGGUCAGACCAUAAACCAGUUGCCCUGCAGCUAACUGAAAAACAUGGCUUCAAUGUGAGAAGUAACUGAAGCACACAUUGGCAGUGGGUGGCAGAAGGGCCCAAGGUUUCAAAAGCAAACUGCAUGGGACCGCUGAAGAAACAGUCCAUUGAAAACCCACCUCAUGUAAGUUUUAGGCAAAGGUGGUCUCCAGCCCUUUCAAGCAGAAUUUCAAGUUGCUGAGCUCAUCCUCCAGCACCACUUGGUACUACUCAGGGUAGCACUUCCAUUGCCAGGAUCCAGCUCAGUAGAACAGUCCAUCUUUGCUCUCAUCAUUUGGCCCAAGCACACCUCAGCACCCAGCAAGUUCCCUCAUUCCUACUGAAGAGAUGGGAAUCCAGUGUUCAUCCUGAGUACCCUGCUACACCUUCUGCUUCCGUUUCCAUUUGCAAGAAGUGUUUGCUGCUUCUGUGGAAUUUAUUAAAGAUUUCUUUAAUAAAACUACUGUUG